This 66-nucleotide small RNA is filed under the name Klebsiella oxytoca. RNAcentral's name for it is "partial RtT sRNA". It matches the Rfam family "RtT RNA", at positions 66 to 130 of the family's 130-position model. Rfam says of the family: This family represents a bacterial cis-regulatory element known as RtT RNA. The exact function of RtT is unknown although it is thought that it may be involved in changing the cellular response in relation to amino acid starvation. Lineage: Bacteria; Pseudomonadati; Pseudomonadota; Gammaproteobacteria; Enterobacterales; Enterobacteriaceae. The record is from RNAcentral.
CGUUGCCGCAGGCAACGGCCCGAAGGGUGAGGAGCAAAGCGACGAAUAAUCCUUCCCCCACCACCA